CGAACGCUGGCGGCAGGCCUAACACAUGCAAGUCGAACGAAGUCUUCGGACUUAGUGGCGCACGGGUGAGUAACACGUGGGAAUAUACCUUUCGCUGGGGGAUAACGUCGGGAAACUGACGCUAAUACCGCAUACGCCCUACGGGGGAAAGAUUUAUCGGCGAGAGAUUAGCCCGCGUCCGAUUAGCUAGUUGGUGAGGUAACGGCUCACCAAGGCGACGAUCGGUAGCUGGUCUGAGAGGAUGAUCAGCCACACUGGGACUGAGACACGGCCCAG
RNAcentral lists this ribosomal RNA (276 nucleotides) under uncultured Magnetospirillum sp. RNAcentral describes it as "partial 16S ribosomal RNA". It matches the Rfam family "Bacterial small subunit ribosomal RNA", at positions 30 to 334 of the family's 1533-position model. Lineage: Bacteria; Pseudomonadati; Pseudomonadota; Alphaproteobacteria; Rhodospirillales; Rhodospirillaceae. The record is from RNAcentral.